Molecule: long non-coding RNA, 529 nt
Filed under: Bos indicus x Bos taurus (hybrid cattle)
Lineage: Eukaryota; Metazoa; Chordata; Mammalia; Artiodactyla; Bovidae
Description: lncRNA (ENSBIXG00005011092.1)
Source: RNAcentral
UCUGUGAGACUGUGUUGCUGGGUCAGAUGGGAAAACAACGAGCCUUAGCUGUGAGUGUCAGACCAGCUCCUAGCAACACUGAGGCGCAGCUGAGUCAGACUAAGUUCCGAGAUGUCAGGAGCUGCUUUCCAGAGAAUCUGUCUACUGAGAGAAAAAGAAAGAUACAAAAUGAGACACCGCUUCUGUUCUGAGGACCCAUCCUGUGGAUAUGCAAGUCCAUCAACGCUAAACAAACUCAGGAAAUGGAGACGUAAAUGACAAAUGAGAGAUGAGGAGUAAGAAACCCAAACCACAGCAUACCAAGCAGAAACCUUGACUUACACUGGAAUCCCAUAUAGCAUCCUUCUUAAAGGAGAUUUUUCCAAUGCGUCAAGUGACGGCACCUUCCUUGGGGACACGUAUGGCAUUCUUUGUGACAGCCUGGUGUAGGUGCUACCUUUCCCAGCAAUUUAAAACCAUGGAAAAAUUCUUCUAUAGAGGAGUGACACUCUUGGAGACGUUAAGACAAUUAAUCUGCAAACAGUGUUGA